RNAcentral lists this ribosomal RNA (253 nucleotides) under uncultured Dysgonomonas sp. RNAcentral describes it as "partial 16S ribosomal RNA". It matches the Rfam family "Bacterial small subunit ribosomal RNA", at positions 524 to 776 of the family's 1533-position model. The record is from RNAcentral. Lineage: Bacteria; Pseudomonadati; Bacteroidota; Bacteroidia; Bacteroidales; Dysgonomonadaceae.
UACGGAGGAUGCGAGCGUUAUCCGGAUUUAUUGGGUUUAAAGGGUGCGUAGGCGGAUUUGUAAGUCAGCGGUGAAAUCUCCAGGCUCAACCUGGAACCUGCCGUUGAAACUGCGGAUCUUGAGUAUGGAUGAAGUAGGCGGAAUUCGUUGUGUAGCGGUGAAAUGCAUAGAUAUAACGAGGAACCCCGAUUGCGUAGGCAGCUUACUAAGCCAUAACUGACGCUCAUGCACGAAAGUGUGGGUAUCAAACAGG